GCCAUGGUAUUAAUAGUUAUGAUCUUUAAAUUAAAAUAAUUUGGCGGUAAUUUAGUCUUUUCAGAGGAACCUGUUCUGUUAUCGAUAAUCCACGUUGGAUUUUACUUUAAUUUUUGUUUAUAUAUCUCUGUCAUUGAAUGUUUUAUUAGAAUAUUUUCUUUUAACAUUAAUUUGUUUAAUGUCAGGUCAAGGUGUAGCUAUAUUAAGGUUUGAAAUGGGUUACAUUUAAUUUGAUUUAUUGGAUUUAUUAUUUUGGAAUUUAAU
Molecule: ribosomal RNA, 264 nt
Filed under: Pseudomyla cornuta
Lineage: Eukaryota; Metazoa; Arthropoda; Insecta; Hemiptera; Coreidae
Description: partial small subunit ribosomal RNA
Source: RNAcentral